RNAcentral lists this ribosomal RNA (832 nucleotides) under Bryoria fuscescens. RNAcentral describes it as "SSU rRNA". It matches the Rfam family "Bacterial small subunit ribosomal RNA", at positions 306 to 1032 of the family's 1533-position model. Lineage: Eukaryota; Fungi; Ascomycota; Lecanoromycetes; Lecanorales; Parmeliaceae. The record is from RNAcentral.
GACCACAGUGGGCCUGAAUAAAGCCCAUGACGAUUGUCACAGCAGUGAGGAAUAUUGGUCAAUAGCCUAACGGCUGAACCAGCAACUUGGAGGAAUGUAUAGCAAUAGCUACUUGCAUCUUCGUAUACAUGAUGCAAGAUCGACUCUGUCGAAUAAAAUUCUAGGUAGAAUUAUGAUAAUGACAUUGUCUGCCUAUGUGUCUUGACCAAAUUACGUGCCAGCAGUCGCGGUAAUACGUAGAAGACUAGUGUUAUUCAUGUUUAAUCGGUUUAAAGGGUACCUAGACGGUAAAUCAAGCCUACAAAUAAAAGAAAUGAAGGGACUAAUUUGCUAGAGUUACUUAUGAGGGGGUAUUAAAGUACUGCUGGUGUAGAGAUGAAAUUCUGUCAUACCUCUUUUCAAUAGAAAAAUAAUGGCACAGGUAUAGGCGAAAGCAUCCCCUUAUGUGAUAACUGACGUUGAGGGACGAAGGCUUUGUGUAGCGAACAGGAUUAGAUACCCCAGUAGUCAAAGCAGAAAAUGAUGAAUGUCAUAGAUUAGAUAUAUAAGUUUAUUCUAUAAAUGAAAGUGUAAGCAUUCCACCUCAAGAGUAAUUUGGCAACAUUGGAACUGAAAUCAUUAGACCGUUUCUGAAACCAGUAGUGAAGUAUGUUGUUUAAUUUGAUGAUCCGCAAAAAACCUUACCACAAUUUGAAUAUUUAUAUCUUUUAUUGUUUUUUUUUAUUUUUCUUCUUAUGACUUUUAUCCAUGAUUUUCUACUCAGUGAAGAAAAGGGAAGAAUACAAGAAAUAAGAAGNAAAAUAAAAAAAAAAUAAUAAGAUAUAUUUACAAG